UGCAUAGGAAUCUACCUAGUAGUAUAGGAUAGCCACUAGAAGUGGUGGGUAAUACUGUAUAAUCCCUGCGGGGGAAAGAUUUAUCGCUACAUGAUGAGCCUAUGUUAGAUUAGCUAGUUGGUGGGGUAAUGGCCUACCAAGGCAGUGAUCUAUAGCUGGUCUGAGAGGAUGAUCAGCCACACUGGAACUGAGACACGGUCCAGACUCCUACGGGAGGCAGCAGUGGGGAAUAUUGGACAAUGGGCGCAAGCCUGAUCCAGCUAUGCCGCGUGAGUGAGGAAGGCCUUAGGGUUGUAAAACUCUUUCAGUGGGGAAGAUAAUGACGGUACCCACAGAAGAAGUCCCGGCAAACUCCGUGCCAGCAGCCGCGGUAAUACGGAGGGGGCAAGCGUUGUUCGGAAUUAUUGGGCGUAAAGGGCAUGUAGGUGGUUUGGUUAGUUAAAGGUGAAAUGCCAGGGCUUAACCCUGGAGCUGCUUUUAAUACUGCCAGACUGGAGUCCGGGAGAGGAUAGCGGAAUUCCUAG
RNAcentral lists this ribosomal RNA (524 nucleotides) under uncultured Anaplasma sp. RNAcentral's name for it is "bacterial SSU rRNA". It matches the Rfam family "Bacterial small subunit ribosomal RNA", at positions 114 to 673 of the family's 1533-position model. Lineage: Bacteria; Pseudomonadati; Pseudomonadota; Alphaproteobacteria; Rickettsiales; Anaplasmataceae. The record is from RNAcentral.